GACGAACGCUGGCGGCGUGCUUAACACAUGCAAGUCGAACGGAAAGGCCCUGCUUUUGUGGGGUGCUCGAGUGGCGAACGGGUGAGUAACACGUGAGUAACCUGCCCUUGACUUUGGGAUAACUUCAGGAAACUGGGGCUAAUACCGGAUAGGAGCUCCUGCUGCGUGGUGGUGGUUGGAAAGUUUCGGCGGUUGGGGAUGGACUCGCGGCUUAUCAGCUUGUUGGGGGGGUAGUGGCUUACCCAGGCUUUGAAGGGUAGCCGGCCUGAGAGGGUGACCGGCGACAUGGGUCCUAAGAUACGGCCCAGACGCCUACGGGAGGCAGCAGUGGGGAAUAUUGCACAAUGGGCGGAAGCCUGAUGCAGCAACGCCGCGUGCGGGAUGCCGGCCUUCGGGUUGUAAACCGCUUUCGCCGGUGACGAAGCGUUAGUGACGGUAAUGGGUAAAGAAGCACCGGCUAACUACGUG
This 468-nucleotide ribosomal RNA is filed under the name uncultured bacterium. Its description in RNAcentral is "partial 16S ribosomal RNA". It matches the Rfam family "Bacterial small subunit ribosomal RNA", at positions 28 to 507 of the family's 1533-position model. The record is from RNAcentral.